UUACAUUAUGGCCUCAUACAUUUUCUGCAAUAGAAAAACAUCAACAUGAAAUAACAUAAAGACCAAACUAAAUUAAGAACUGUACCAUUCUCACUAACAAACCUAAAAAUUAAUGCUUGAGAAACAUCAAAACCCUGAAAAACAAUACCAACAGUUCAUGCCAUAGCUUUGAAUCUUCAUAUAUAUGACUCCAAUCCAUGCCAUCAGUUCCUCUUCUUAGCUUCUUUUGCUAGGCUUCAAUCUGUGAUACAUACACAUGCACACCCUUUUCUGUUAAUUUCUAUAUCUAUCUCUCUCUCUAUAUAUAUAUAUAUAUGUAUGUAUAUAUGUAUAUAUGAAAAACACAUUAAGCUGACACUAAAGGAAGGAUCAAUCUUACUUGUUCUGUGUAGGAUUUGGUGUUGGUUUUGGUAUCGAUCUAAGGCUAAAUGCUACCACACGCUUCUGAGUUAUUUUGUGCCGUUCUCUUUGUAGCAAGAGUGAAUGUGAAUGAGAUUGGGAAACAAAGGGUGUAGAAGGGUAUGACCUAGCUUGGG
RNAcentral lists this long non-coding RNA (536 nucleotides) under Vigna radiata. RNAcentral's name for it is "long non-coding RNA (VRAD_LNC015203)". The record is from RNAcentral. Lineage: Eukaryota; Viridiplantae; Streptophyta; Magnoliopsida; Fabales; Fabaceae.